This 253-nucleotide ribosomal RNA is filed under the name uncultured bacterium. RNAcentral's name for it is "partial 16S ribosomal RNA". It matches the Rfam family "Bacterial small subunit ribosomal RNA", at positions 524 to 776 of the family's 1533-position model. The record is from RNAcentral.
UACGUAGGGUGCGAGCGUUAAUCGGAAUUACUGGGCGUAAAGCGUGCGCAGGCGGUAAGUUAAGUCUGAUGUGAAAGCCCCGGGCUUAACCUGGGAAUUGCAUUGGAAACUAGCGGGCUGGAGUGUGGCAGAGGGGGGUGGAAUUCCACGUGUAGCAGUGAAAUGCGUAGAGAUGUGGAGGAACACCGAUGGCGAAGGCAGCCCCCUGGGCUAACACUGACGCUCAUGCACGAAAGCGUGGGGAGCAAACAGG